GGCUACAAUAAGGUGUGACUGGGAGGCCGAAGUCUGUAACCAAUUCGGCUUUUGCAAGUCACAUUGUUCGUUAAAUAACAACUACGAUAGUAAAUAUGAAUUUCUUGCUAAUGGUUCAUUUUAAACUACAUAUUUUCAUUAGCUGAAGCAUCUGACUCACUUCAGCAAAAGCUCAGUAGCGCAUACAAAACCAAAGGUUCACAUUUUCAGCAGAAAGCUUAGUAGCUCACAAAUAAAGCCAAAAACAAAGACACAACAUGAAAUUGUAAACUGAAUUGUUGAUGAUGAUCUCAUUGGCUAGAUAUAGGAACAGAAUCUUCACCAUUUGCUGAAUCAGCUACAGGAGAUCUCUUUGUUAGAGACUUUAUGUCCAUGUCAUCUUGUGUACAACGUUGCUGAGGGUGUGAUAACAUAAUAGACAAGUGACGCAGGAGGACUCGUAGGCCCUGCCCGGUCUCAUAGAUGUAACCCUCAUACUCACUAACAUGUUCAAGGGUGUCAACUAGUGCAUCAUAGACCGCCUGUGGGCAGUUGUCAGGUCCAGGCUUAUCAUGGAGGUACAUCACAUCCAAAGUGAAGAGUUUCUGGUUUAUGGGCCACUGGUGGUGCGGUCGAACAGAUGAUCUGCAGUAGACGAGAAUCACUCUUAAAAUCCGGUUUUGAGCACGUGAUUUCUUUGCUUCAUGAGCUGCUAAGCGAAAUAAAUGUGUGAGGUCUGCUUGACCACAAGAUGAAGUAGCUGAGAGCCCCCUAAGAGCAGCUACUGUAGACUCAACUUCACUGCUAAACUCUUUUCGAAGCCAAGAGGCGGAUUUUGCUAGAGUGGCGAAAGCGAAGCGAUGAUCGGGGUUGAUAGAGAGCUUGGCGUUGAUGAAGAAAAGAAUAGCUUGCUUGAUGCACUCCAAUCUGGUGAGAGGUCUCCCAGAGGGGCCUGCGGUUUUCAUUUCCACAAGAGACUCUGCAUCCACAUCUAUGCAAAACAAUAUGUCCUCGCAGUUGAUCCUCAUCGGCUUCAGCGCAUAUCUUCCCCUGCCUGAGCCCUCUGUUCCAUCCACCGUCUCCAUCUCUCUCCCUCUCUCUGGCUUCGCGAAUUGCAUUGGAAGAAGAGGGCUGUGAUUUUUUU
This 1123-nucleotide unclassified non-coding RNA is filed under the name Hevea brasiliensis (rubber tree). The record is from RNAcentral. Lineage: Eukaryota; Viridiplantae; Streptophyta; Magnoliopsida; Malpighiales; Euphorbiaceae.